Molecule: ribosomal RNA, 252 nt
Filed under: uncultured bacterium
Lineage: Bacteria
Description: partial 16S ribosomal RNA
Rfam family: Bacterial small subunit ribosomal RNA
Source: RNAcentral
UACGUAGGUGACAAGCGUUGUCCGGAUUUACUGGGCGUAAAGAGCGCGCUGGCGGUCGAUCAAGUCGAGUGUGAAAGCCCCCGGCUCAACUGGGGAGGGUCAUUCGGUACUGAUCGACUCGAAGGCAGGAGAGGGUAGUGGAAUUCCUGGUGUAGCGGUGGAAUGCGCAGAUAUCAGGAGGAACACCGGUGGCGAAGGCGGGUCUCUGGGCAGUAACUGACGCUGAGGAGCGAAAGCGUGGGAGCGAACAGG